This 253-nucleotide ribosomal RNA is filed under the name uncultured bacterium. Its description in RNAcentral is "partial 16S ribosomal RNA". It matches the Rfam family "Bacterial small subunit ribosomal RNA", at positions 524 to 776 of the family's 1533-position model. The record is from RNAcentral.
UACAGAGGUCCCAAGCGUUGUUCGGAUUUAUUGGGCGUAAAGGGUGCGUAGGCGGCAGAGUAAGUUGGGUGUGAAAUGCCAGGGCUCAACCCUGGCCAGCACUCGAUACUGCUUUGCUAGAGCACUAGAGAGGGGGCUGGAAUUUACGGUGUAGCAGUGAAAUGCGUGGAUAUCGUAAGGAACGCCAGUGGCGAAAGCGAGCCUCUAGAUAGUAUGCUGACGCUGAGGCACGAAAGCUGGGGGAGCAAACGGG